CUCCAUCUACCCCACCACUAUACUGUCUCAACAACCCGAAAUCCCUUUUCCUUGUCAACUAGCAGACGGCUGUGAGAAAGGAGGCAACUAGCAGCAAAUGAAUAUUUCUUGAUUUCUUAACACAUCUUCCACCAUAAUCAGAGGUAGUGUAAACUAGCGUUGCCUCUUUCUUCGACAGUAGAAGCGAAGUGGUAGUCUAUAUGACUCUUGAUCGCCAAUGACAAAAUAUACAGAUAGCAGCAGAUCUCGAAGACAUCAGCCCAUUCACAUCUCCCACAACUUGUAGCUAGUGGAAGACAGCAUUUUUCCCUUUCUGCUGCCAAAGAACACCAUUUUGACACAAGCAUAGAAGAAACGACCCUAGUCGUGUAAUAGUAACAUUGGUGCCAGCUAUAAACAAACCUCCUCCACAAUCACACCACUCUUCAACUGUGCGAGUGGACGGCACCAUGGAUCUAUUAUUUUCUCUGAUACAAGCUUUUCGGUUGAAGACGGUCUUUUCCUGAACUUGGGUACACCUUGUGGUUUAUCUAACUGAUUUUUUUUUCGUAUCUUACUACAGACGUCGCCCCAUGUCGCCAUACGGGGGACAUGGGACGUAAAAAUGGGAUCCUAUCAACUUGUUCUGACUUAGGAUAAUAAGCUCAUGAGCUUGGUCUUACUUCAACAUCGAGAAACGAAAGAAGACUGUCAUCUGAACUCGUCUAGCUUCAAUGCCCCUCACGUUCGGAGUUAGACUGGGGCCCGUAAGAAUGUACAAUGAAAUUUGUACGAAACGAAGAUAUUUUGUUGCUUGCAGGAUGGUCAUUCUCGAAAGGACACCGGAAUGGGAAGUGUUUCAUGAAACACGGCUGGAAGACACUAAUUUACUUGUUCAAUUCCAACUCCGGCCACAAUUGGAAUAAGCAACAACUAAAAAAUUGAUGGGAUGCUCUCCGCCUAAAACACAAAAGAUUCGAGGAAUUGUUGAAUUGCAGUAGUAUUGCAUACAACCCAUCAACUGGCAGAAUUUGUGCUUAUGGGGAGUGGUGGGCUCGAAAGAUCAAGGUACCAUCGUUUCAUGACCAAUCGUUUACUUGUGUGUGAGAUGAAAUAUUACUUUUGGUCGUGUCAUUGGAUUCAUUAGAGAUUUUGAUUUAUUUCAUUAUUAGAGUAGUUGGUCAUUUUUCGUUUCAGGGAAUGCGUUUGGAUUGCUAUAUGAUCAUAUUACUCGGUGUUGUACUGUUCAGGAGAGGAAAAAGUUCAUUGUUGUAUCAUUGAUCUUAUGCUCAUGUAUUUGAAAAAGUGCCGAGGUUUCCUAUUUUGAGGGGUUUUGAUAGAGUGGGAGUUAGAUCGGAUGGAAUUACUACAACUCCCUAUUGUCCUAAUUUUUUUUUUUCAGGAUUUACGCUAAAAUUUGCUUAUGUUUUCAUAUAUUAACUUCAUUUGCAUUUCUGUGUAACGUAUGUGACAACCUCUCCAUUUUAUUGGCAUAGGAGAACAAAGACUACAAAGAAUUUAAGGACAAAGACUGUCGAGUGGUGUACGGUUACAAGGCUCUAUUCGGCGACACGUUAGACAGUGAUAAGUAUGUAGUCACACCAACAAAGCUCUGUCGAACUAGCGUCGCGAUGUUUGAAGAUAGUAGAUAUGAAGACCAUGUGACAAGGUAUCAGCUGAUGUCGAUAGCAGCUGUUCAAGUGACGAGCCUGAAAAAAGAUAUGGCUAAAGCAAGCAUGGAUGUGUCGAUCCCGUACAACGGAGACAAAUGAAAAGCAGAUACCAGGAAGAAAAAUGAGGAGAAGAAAAAUUUCACUCUUGAUCUUUCCUACUUAGUUAAUCACGCACAAUGGCCGGUGAGAGGGACGCUACCAAAAUCGACAACUUCGUCAGACCUGUUGUGCCGUACCCAAAGACAUGUAUGAAAGAGUUAUUAGUGACUGGUAGACUGAAAAACAAACUGAUCUCUACUUAUGAAUGUGUACCUUCUUAUCUCGAAAGCGCAAAUGGGAGAUAUUGGACAUGUAGGACGAUGCGAAUGAAAAAUUUAAGUGGGUCGAGUGGAAUGACAGGAUUACCGAAAAGCAUAGUAGCGAUAAGAGCUUAGUGUGACAUUCGAAAUGGAGCCCCGUGAAAUUUGUUCCAUGAGAAAACAUUUGGUGGAAUUUCGUUAUGUUUUAAUUUUGUAUGUUUGAUAGACUGCUUCAUGCUAUGUAUAUGGUAGUGCUAAACACUUUGGUUCGCAUAUAUUGUCACCAUGCUUGCCUUCAAAGACUUUGAUUUGCAUAGAUUUUCACCCUACUUCCCUGCAAAAGAUGUAGUUGGAUGUUCGUAAAUAUUUUCAACCAAGUACUCUAUAGAACACUUACACUUCAC
This 2355-nucleotide long non-coding RNA is filed under the name Olea europaea subsp. europaea. The record is from RNAcentral. Lineage: Eukaryota; Viridiplantae; Streptophyta; Magnoliopsida; Lamiales; Oleaceae.